RNAcentral lists this ribosomal RNA (328 nucleotides) under uncultured eukaryote. RNAcentral's name for it is "partial 18S ribosomal RNA". It matches the Rfam family "Eukaryotic small subunit ribosomal RNA", at positions 1470 to 1796 of the family's 1831-position model. The record is from RNAcentral.
CCCUUAGAUGUCCUGGGCCGCACGCGCGCUACACUGAUGCAUGCAACGAGUUUAUAACCUUGGCCUGAAAGGUCUGGGUAAUCUUUUGAACGUGCAUCGUGAUAGGGAUAGAUUAUUGCAAUUGUUAAUCUUGAACGAGGAAUUCCUAGUAAACGCAAGUCAUCAGCUCGCAUUGAUUACGUCCCUGCCCUUUGUACACACCGCCCGUCGCACCUACCGAUUGAAUGGUUCGGUGAAGAUCUCGGACUUCGAUAUUUAUUCUUUAUUGAGUUUAUAUUGUGGGAAGUUAUCUAAACCUCAUCAUUUAGAGGAAGGUGAAGUCGUAACA